Non-coding RNA from Triticum aestivum (bread wheat), 125 nucleotides. The record is from Rfam. Lineage: Eukaryota; Viridiplantae; Streptophyta; Magnoliopsida; Poales; Poaceae.
AAUGCACUCCCUCUGUCUGGAAAUACUUGUCAGGGCAAUGGAUGUAUCUAGAUGUGUUUUAGGUCUAGAUACAUCCAUUUUUAUCCAUUUCUCUGACAAGUAUUUCUGGACGGAUGGAGUAUAUA